UUCCAAAGCUUAUGCCAAGGUUUGUUGUAUCCAGAUGUUUGAGACUUCAUUUACUGUAUAGCCUUCAAGGUUGACAAAAAUAUACGGUUGAUUUGCCAGAAAAACUGCUAAAACUUGUAGAUUUCUACUUCUUAUAUACUACAUCUCAUAUUGUU
This is a long non-coding RNA of Hibiscus syriacus, 155 nucleotides long. RefSeq lists it as uncharacterized. Lineage: Eukaryota; Viridiplantae; Streptophyta; Magnoliopsida; Malvales; Malvaceae. The transcript is spliced from 3 exons. The record is from RefSeq and is a predicted model, not a curated record.